AUAACGCCCGGAAACGGGUGCUAAUACUGGAUAUUCACUGAUCUUCGCAUGGGGGUUGGUGGAAAGGUUUUUUCUGGUGGGGGAUGGGCUCGCGGCCUAUCAGCUUGUUGGUGGGGUGAUGGCCUACCAAGGCUUUGACGGGUAGCCGGCCUGAGAGGGUGACCGGUCACAUUGGGACUGAGAUACGGCCCAGACUCCUACGGGAGGCAGCAGUGGGGAAUAUUGCACAAUGGGCGAAAGCCUGAUGCAGCGACGCCGCGUGAGGGAUGGAGGCCUUCGGGUUGUAAACCUCUUUCGCUCAUGGUCAAGCCGCAACUUAGGGUUGUGGUGAGGGUAGUGGGUAAAGAAGCGCCGGCUAACUACGUGCCAGCAGCCGCGGUAAUACGUAGGGCGCGAGCGUUGUCCGGAAUUAUUGGGCGUAAAGGGCUUGUAGGCGGUUGGUCGCGUCUGCCGUGAAAUCCUCUGGCUUAACUGGGGGCGUGCGGUGGGUACGGGCUGACUUGAGUGCGGUAGGGGAGACUGGAACUCCUGGUGUAGCGGUGGAAUGCGCAGAUAUCAGGAAGAACACCGGUGGCGAAGGCGGGUCUCUGGGCCGUUACUGACGCUGAGGAGCGAAAGCGUGGGGAGCGAACAGGAUUAGAUACCCUGGUAGUCCACGCUGUAAACGUUGGGCACUAGGUGUGGGGGCCACCCGUGGUUUCUGCGCCGUAGCUAACGCUUUAUGUGCCCCGCCUGGGGAGUACGGCCGCAAGGCUAAAACUCAAAGGAAUUGACGGC
This 777-nucleotide ribosomal RNA is filed under the name uncultured bacterium. Its description in RNAcentral is "bacterial SSU rRNA". It matches the Rfam family "Bacterial small subunit ribosomal RNA", at positions 143 to 917 of the family's 1533-position model. The record is from RNAcentral.